UACGUAGGGGGCAAGCGUUAUCCGGAUUUACUGGGUGUAAAGGGAGCGUAGGCGGCGGAGCAAGUCAGAAGUGAAAGCCCGGGGCUCAACCCCGGGACGGCUUUUGAAACUGCCCUGCUUGAUUUCAGGAGAGGUAAGCGGAAUUCCUAGUGUAGCGGUGAAAUGCGUAGAUAUUAGGAGGAACACCAGUGGCGAAGGCGGCUUACUGGACUGACAAUGACGCUGAGGCUCGAAAGCGUGGGGAGCAAACAGG
This 253-nucleotide ribosomal RNA is filed under the name Pseudocoprococcus catus. Its description in RNAcentral is "Coprococcus catus partial 16S ribosomal RNA". It matches the Rfam family "Bacterial small subunit ribosomal RNA", at positions 524 to 776 of the family's 1533-position model. RNAcentral also lists the same sequence under 3 other names. Lineage: Bacteria; Bacillati; Bacillota; Clostridia; Lachnospirales; Lachnospiraceae. The record is from RNAcentral.